CUCGCCUCUCCAGCCUGAGGCGUCGCCUCCCCAAAGCCCAACCAGGCGUUAUGUCAAUCAACAGUAGGAGCGUAGUUGUCCAUUAUUGGCAGAAUUUCAAAUGAUUGAGAUUAUAAAAUUAACAAAUUUUAGUGUUGCUUAUUCAUGAAAAGUUUAGGCAAUGUAGUUGGAAUUGAAUUAAAGAUUUUUAGUUCAUUUAAUUUUUUUUUUCAUUACAUAUUCAUUAUCAUGUGUGGUGGAUUAGAGGGAAUAUUUACAUUAUGAUAUUUAAAAUUUACUAUUAUUUUAAAGUUUAACUAUCAUAUUAUUUAAAUAUGAGAAUGUGUUAAAAUUUUUUUAUUCUUUUAAUUUAUUGUAGGCAAAAAUAUUGUGUGAUAUAAUAAAAAUUAAUAAUGUGUAUAAAAAAGGUAAAGUGGUUAAAAAAAUUAUAUAGUUAAUUAAUUUGACUUUUUUAUUAUAGAAUGAAAAUCAUUUUGAUUGGUGCCAUAUUAAGUUAAACACGUAAAUCAUGAAGUGAAAACUCAGCAAGAUUAAAAGUCAACUGACCGACCAGCUGGACAAAUUCUUAACAGUCGAGUUGGAUCGGUUUGCAUUACCAGAUCACAUUAAUUUGUAUAAUGAUGGGUUGGGUCGGUUUGAAUGCAAUUUACUUUCAAACUGACCGGUGAACAGCCCUGCUUACUCUUCCUCAAAUUUUGAUUUUCUUCACCUGCUUCCUUUCUGUUGCUUUUGCUUCUUUCUUUCGCACAAGAGGUUGGUCGAGUUUUCACCUAUUUGAUUUGACAAUCGGUAUUGGUUCUUUGAGGUUUUCUUCUUCUUCUUCUUCUUCUAAGCUGUUAAACUCUAGCUCGAGAAGCAGAUUUUCACUGUCUCUGAAGGAUGAUGUGAAGAGGAACGGUUGCGCUUUCACGGUGAGGUCGAGCUUGGAUACUGUGGGUCCUACAGCUACUGUGGGACAGGUUACUGAGGUCACCAAGGAUACCUUCUGGCCCAUCGUCAAGUCCGCCGGCGAUAAGAUUGUCGUCCUUGACAUGUACACUCAAUGGUGUGGACCUUGUAAAGUGAUAGCUCCCAAAUUUAAAGAUUUGUCAGAGAAGUAUCUUGAUGUUGUCUUCCUAAAGCUUGAUUGCAACCAAGAUAACAAGGUUUUUAAUUUGCUUUAUCUGCCUUAUUUAAACAUGGAUGACAUUAUAGAAUAAGUCUUGCAUUAUUCUAAGGUAUUCCCUUUUACCUAAUUUCUUCCUCGUAUUAUUAUUUGAUUGCUAAUCUGAUCACUGUUGGCAGCCAUUGGCAAAGGAGCUUGGCAUAAGGGUGGUGCCUACUUUCAAGAUUCUCAAGGACAGCAAGAUUGUAAAGGAAGUGACGGGGGCCAAAUUUGAUGAUUUGGUGGUUGCCAUAGAGGCUGUUAGAUCCAGCUGAAUCUCCUUUCUCCUGUAAAAAAAGUAAAAUACUUGAUAAGUACCAAGGACCAAUGGGCGGCUCCAAAAUCUGAAAAAUAAUGAUGUCUGCUUUAAUGUAUCCAUUGAACCUUUUCCCUGGGAAUCCAUAUUGGGUGAGAACAGGUAAAAUGAGAUUAUGUUCUGCUUCAGGGAGAAUAGAAAUGAGGUAUGAAAAAAAAAAAUCAUUUUAAUUGUUUCCAUUUCCCUGAAGUAGUAGUAUCCAUGAAAAAAGAAUGAUGUAAAUGCCACUGAAGCUAUUGUGAAUCGAUUUUAAUUAACUGAAUAGAAUUUCUUUUGCAUUUUGCUAAAAAAAAAAA
Molecule: unclassified non-coding RNA, 1756 nt
Filed under: Hevea brasiliensis (rubber tree)
Lineage: Eukaryota; Viridiplantae; Streptophyta; Magnoliopsida; Malpighiales; Euphorbiaceae
Source: RNAcentral